This 332-nucleotide ribosomal RNA is filed under the name uncultured bacterium. RNAcentral's name for it is "bacterial SSU rRNA". It matches the Rfam family "Bacterial small subunit ribosomal RNA", at positions 568 to 898 of the family's 1533-position model. The record is from RNAcentral.
CGCGUAGGCGGGAUGGCAAGUCGGUCGUGAAAUCCCUCGGCUCAACUGAGGAGCGUCGAUCGAAACUGCCGUUCUUGAGGGUUGCAGAGGAGACUGGAAUUCCCGGUGUAGCGGUGAAAUGUGUAGAGAUCGGGAGGAACACCGGUGGCGAAGGCGGGUCUCUGGGCAACUCCUGACGCUGAGGCGCGAAAGCGUGGGGAGCAAACGGGAUUAGAUACCCCGGUAGUCCACGCUGUAAACGAUGACGACUAGGUGUGGGGGGGUUCAGUCCCCUCCGUGCCGCAGCUAACGCAUUAAGUCGUCCGCCUGGGGAGUACGGCCGCGAGGUUGAA